This 425-nucleotide ribosomal RNA is filed under the name uncultured bacterium. Its description in RNAcentral is "partial 16S ribosomal RNA". It matches the Rfam family "Bacterial small subunit ribosomal RNA", at positions 354 to 796 of the family's 1533-position model. The record is from RNAcentral.
GUGGGGAAUCUUGCGCAAUGGGCGAAAGCCUGACGCAGCCAUGCCGCGUGAAUGAUGAAGGUCUUAGGAUUGUAAAAUUCUUUCACCGGGGACGAUAAUGACGGUACCCGGAGAAGAAGCUCCGGCUAACUUCGUGCCAGCAGCCGCGGUAAUACGAAGGGGGCUAGCGUUGCUCGGAAUUACUGGGCGUAAAGGGAGCGUAGGCGGACAUUUAAGUCAGGGGUGAAAUCCCGAGGCUCAACCUCGGAACUGCCUUUGAUACUGGGUGUCUUGAGUGUGAGAGAGGUGAGUGGAACUCCGAGUGUAGAGGUGAAAUUCGUAGAUAUUCGGAAGAACACCAGUGGCGAAGGCGACUCACUGGCUCAUUACUGACGCUGAGGCUCGAAAGCGUGGGGAGCAAACAGGAUUAGAUACCCUUGUAGUCC